Molecule: ribosomal RNA, 24 nt
Filed under: Salvelinus malma malma
Lineage: Eukaryota; Metazoa; Chordata; Actinopteri; Salmoniformes; Salmonidae
Description: partial 12S ribosomal RNA
Source: RNAcentral
CAAAGGCUUGGUCCUGACUUUACU